Long non-coding RNA from Anolis carolinensis (green anole), 3566 nucleotides. RefSeq lists it as uncharacterized. Lineage: Eukaryota; Metazoa; Chordata; Lepidosauria; Squamata; Anolidae. The transcript has 2 exons. The record is from RefSeq and is a predicted model, not a curated record.
AUUCCACUGUGUUGACUCUUAGCCCAUCUCCUUCUAGAAGAGACUCAAGACCUUGAGGAAAGUAGGUCAAUAUUGUUUGAAACUGGUAUGGACAGUCUUUCUUUCAAAAUCCACGUCACAGGAAGAGCUCCGGGACACAAUGAAGCCCAGCAGUCUUAAUCCUCGUACCUUAUUUGUUUGCUUUAGUUUGCUUUAAGGCUCCCAAAAGUUAAUGACUAUCUUAAACAAAGCACAUCCUUCGGACUACAAGGAGCCCCUAAGCUUUACUAUGACUCCUUUACUCCCCCCAGGACCUUGGAUGGCUUUUCUUCUGGGAAAAGGUGAAUUCAUCGGGGAAACUUUAAAAAUAAUACUCAUUGAAAUAGUCUGUGUGUUGCCCACUGUGAUCUAAACCAGAGCUUUCCAAACAUUUCAAUUCAGUUUUCUUAGUAAACUGGAGGGUGCACUAACUCUUCAUAAGAGAUACGGACACAUACAUCAAUUGUAAUAACAAAAUGUGGGAGGACGCAAUGUAUCUCAUGAAAACCUUACUUUUUAAAAUAUAUAAUUUAUUGCUUAUUUCACAUAGACUCGGAGAUUUCUUGUUAUAUUUGCCCAUCAUACCUACACACUGCAGCUAAUUCACUAAGAUGUCACGACACAGUUUGGAAAGCUCUGAUCUAAAUGGCACAUAUCACAGCAGGUUUGCAAGGUGCCUGGACCAAAGUGGAAAUGGAUAUCUGUUUUUUAAAAUAAGACAUUUUAAUGUAAACCACCUUAAAAUAAAGAUAUACAUUUAACAUCCAAGGUUAAGAAGUAAGAUACUCUCUGCACUUAAGAUUAAGAUCUAAAAUGUAUGACACACAAACAGCAAGAAUGAGGAAUGAGGAAGAAAAAAGCAGACUCGGCCAACCAAUUCUGGGAAACAUAUUUCCUAUCACAAUCAGCUGGAAUGGAACAUUUCAGGUUGUUAUGAAAUGACAUCGAGUUGAUUUCAAGUUAUGAUGACCUUGUGAAUAGACUGUUAGUGCUGUGAUAUUACAUUUCUGUUUGGUAAAAGAGAGGGUAAAACUACAUGACCCAAGGGAUCCCAUUUGGGAAAGAAAGCAUAGCUGUUUUCUCAAUCUGUCAAGGCAGAAUGCUAAAAUUAAAGGUUGAUUGAUUUCCUACAUUUGGAGGCUUUUUUUGUAAUUCAAAAAUUUGCUUCAACAAGACCAACAAGCUGUCGCUUCGCUAAUCAGGGUGGAUCUAUGCUGUAGAUUUAAUCCAGUUUGACAUCACUUUAAUAGCUAUGGUUCAACAGCAUUUGGAGUUUGGUGAGGCACCAGCACUUUUUGGCAGAGAAAACUUAAAAGACCUUGUAAAAAACCUCUUCCCAUGAAUCAACAUUAUUGAGCCAUGGUAGUUAAAGUGGUGGCAAACUGUAUCAAAGCUACUGUAUACAUACAUGAGAGUGAAAAACUGCUAAUCUCUUAGCAGAGGAAAUGGACUAAUCUAGUUUAUAUUGUCUUUUGCUCUGCAGUCUCAUAUAGUAGCUGCUGCUAGAGAAUGGAAAGCCAAGCAACAUUUCAAGAGGAAUGUUUUUCCCCAUGGAAAAUAUUAACUUGUAAAGUUUGGACAAUGUUAUUUGAAAUACUAUUUUAGCUUAGGGAUAUUGGUAAGCUAAAGGGGCAGGGUUGUGCAACCUGAGCACCAAAUCUAUUUCCUGGAUUCUGAAAACUAUUUUCCCAAAUUCUGAUUGUCUGCUAGUGUUGGUGGAUUGAUUGUGGCAUGGGAAGAUUUUCAAGAAAGCUGGUUGGUGAAGGAAAAGUUGAUUUACCCAAAACCACAUGUUUUCAGUCUCCAACCUGCAUGUUGAUUAAGGUUUUAUUGGUGUCCUGUCUCUCCACAUUUCAAUGGCAGUGAAAUUUGGGGUGGUUAAUAAAACCAAUGGAAGCUUUACUUCCACAUAUACGUAAUUGCAUGGAGAUGAGGGCAGUUCUCCUUCAGGAGCAUUAAAGAGAGAGAAGGAGGUGAUACAGAUGGGUUGGAAAGCAACAAAGAAAGAAACAUUUGUAUCUGGAGAACUGUCUAUGCAGGAAAUCCCUUUCCAGGUACCUUAAUUGUGUCUUAUAUUCAAAUUCAUGCUCUUUAUUUUGGGGAACGCAAAGGGUAUCUUUGGGUAUCUCCCUACUGUCUCGAGGAAACAGUAAUGAUUAGUCUGUAGCCUUUAAACAUGCUUGUUUCAUCUUUGUGUAUAUAUUUGCUGGGAGGGGCAGUUGCGGAGUCUCAUAUGGAGAGACAUCCUUUUCCUUUUGUUUGUCAUGAUUAAUUCCUUUCCCUCCUUCUGAUCUUCACCCUUAAACCUAUUUCUUCCUUUCAUCUUUCUAACCUCUGCUUUUCCCAAAUCUUUUGAACCUCCUCUGUCUUCCUGUCCUCCCCGCUUUUCUCCCCAACUUUGAGACUCCCAUCUUUGAACUCUAAGCCACUUAAUAUUGUUCUGGGUUGGAUUGAUAGAAGUAAUUAUGACGAAUUAAAUGAAGUGAAUUAUUUAACUUUCCAAGUAGGGUCUGAGUGAGAGGUGGGAAAACUGAUUGCACAGGAUCUUCUGAUUUACACUUUGCCUGGUUUUGGAUUACCAGUGUCAAACUUUUGAAACUGAAUGUUGAUGCCUAACUUGUUGUUUUAAGAUGUGUGUGAAGAAAAAGUUUGCCAGGCUGGCAUUCUCUCUUGCUACCUGUUUUCACACUAUUGCAAAUUAAUUGUAGGUGAAGAUCCUUCGACAUAAUUAGGAGUGUUUGAUCUUACAACAUUGCUGAAAUAAAGUGUGUUUAAUGCCUCCUUCCAAACUCAGUGGUGCUGUUGUAAAUCAUAGAUUGCUGAGAUGGAGGAGAAGGUCCCCAAUUCAUCAUCAUAAUGUGCUGGGAGCUCUAAGGGGCAGAAUGCUGAGAGAGUGUCCUCCCACACCAUAGAGAUCUGUGAGAUCAGACCACACCAUGCUCAGAGGAUUACUGUCUGAUAGCUAAGAAGGAGCCAGAAGCUUGGACAAGCUGGAAGAAGCCAAAAUGAUAGGAGAAGUUCCUUAAUGGUCAAGCAACUCAGGAUUCUAGCUGCUUCUUUUGUUAGAGAAAUUACUUGUCCGUGGACAGCUAGUUGGAGAUUCAUAGCGGGACUAUAAAAAGCCAUUUUGGAGAAGAUGACUCAUCCUCCCUGCCCCUUUAGCUAGGUGUGUGUCAGGGAAAGAAGAAACAUUUCUGAGAAGGGAAUGACAAACAUUGAAAAGGGAGAACAGAGCUGAAAGGUAUAUUCCUAAAAGCAGACUUUAUGCUGCAGGUAUCACGAGGCAUCUGAAUGGAAGAACUGUACAUGAUUAGAAGUCUAUUUUCAGAAGUGAAAGUGGACUCCUGGACCCUUCUGGUUUCAUGUUUUUGGAGGACUGAUAUGGGCUCCUGAGUAUAAAAUCAGUUACUGAGCUCCAAUGUUUGGCUGAUGCUGAUACAGUCCCAGGGUUUCUUAAGCUUUUUCCACUUGUGACCUUUUUUUUUGCCUGAUAAUAUUUUUGUGAUUCUCAUAUAAAAUAGGUAUAAACAUCAAACAUUUCCUGAAAA